This 440-nucleotide ribosomal RNA is filed under the name uncultured bacterium. RNAcentral's name for it is "partial 16S ribosomal RNA". It matches the Rfam family "Bacterial small subunit ribosomal RNA", at positions 338 to 795 of the family's 1533-position model. The record is from RNAcentral.
CCUACGGGAGGCAGCAGUGGGGAAUAUUGCACAAUGGGGGAAACCCUGAUGCAGCGACGCCGCGUGAGUGAAGAAGUAAUUCGUUAUGUAAAGCUCUAUCAGCAGGGAAGAAAAUGACGGUACCUGAGUAAGAAGCCCCGGCUAACUACGUGCCAGCAGCCGCGGUAAUACGUAGGGGGCAAGCGUUAUCCGGAUUUACUGGGUGUAAAGGGAGCGUAGACGGCAGUGCAAGUCUGGAGUGAAAGGCGGGGGCUCAACCCCCGGACUGCUCUGGAAUCUGUACGGCUGGAGGGCAGGAGUGGGAAGGGGGAUUCCCAGUGGAGCGGUGGAAUGCGUAGAUAUUAGGAGGGACACCAGUGGCGGAGGCGGCUUACUGGACUGUAACUGACGUUGAGGCGCGAAAGCGUGGGGAGCAAACAGGAUUAGAUACCCCUGUAGUC